CCUAAGUUUUCUUCUUGUUUUAUGGUUUCCAGCCUUACAUUUAGAUCUUCAAUCCAUUAUGAGUUUACUUUUGUAUAUGGUGUGGGAAAAUGUUCUAAUUUUAUUCUUUUACAGGUAGCUGUCCAGGUUUCCCAGCACCACUUACUGAAGAGACUGUCUUUUCUCCAUUGUAUAUUC
Non-coding RNA from Vicugna pacos (alpaca), 177 nucleotides. Lineage: Eukaryota; Metazoa; Chordata; Mammalia; Artiodactyla; Camelidae. The record is from RefSeq and is a predicted model, not a curated record.